AGUUAUCGGAAAAAUAAAAUAGUGAAUAGGCUAAUUUAGUUAAACUCAUACGGACUACUUCGUCGGGCAUCAACUUCGUAGAUAUUUUACCCACCCCGUUGUUGAUCAUAUCCAUCUGCAUGCACAGUAUCGUCCUUUCGCUUUCUUGUCUUUCUUUCCUGGUCGGCGCCGUGGAAGCCGAAUGGUUUGUUGGUCCAAUCAACCAUGGAGAAGCUCAUCAAGAUUGGCUUUCAGUAUCUGAAAGAUGAAGUCUUCUUUUGUAGCUUCUCUAGCGAGCUGAUUAGAAGAUUUGUAUUUUUUUUACUACUUUUCGAUAUAAUUUUGUGCUCCGACCAACUUUCCGUCACCUUGUUGAAUAUUUUGCUUCUGAUUUCGAUGGGGGCGAUGCUCUAAUUUCAGUGUUUUUUUUUUUUGCUCUGAGACCGAUCUUCAAGCUGCUUCAUCAUGGAGGUUUUUUGGGUUUUGGCCCUGUUGAAUGUAGUUGGGCUUUUUGUUUCUUUGCAUGUUCUUCUUUUGCCGCAGUCUGUUCAAUGAUUGUUUUUUUGGAAGAUGUCGCUCUCUGGAUGGAGACAUUAUUAGGAGCGGAGUGCGGACGUAGCUCCGGAUGGCACACAUGAAUUUCCUUAUCAUAGAAUGUUGGCCAUUAAAAGAGAGCAUAAAUUUAAGUUAAAGUGUGGCAGAGAUGAGGAUACUCAGGUGGAUGAGUGGCUUUACUCUUAGAGACAGAACACAAAACAAGCAUGGACUAGAAAGGUUAGAGUAGCUCCAAUGACAGGUAAGAGUAGAGAGAGUUGUUUUAGAUGGCUUUGUCAAAUAAAAUGGCCUUUUGGGUCA
This is a long non-coding RNA of Dendrobium catenatum, 834 nucleotides long. RefSeq lists it as uncharacterized. The transcript has 2 exons. Lineage: Eukaryota; Viridiplantae; Streptophyta; Magnoliopsida; Asparagales; Orchidaceae. The record is from RefSeq and is a predicted model, not a curated record.